ACGCUGGCGGCGUGCCUAAUACAUGCAAGUCGAACGCACUGACAGAGAAACUUGUCUCUCUUGACGUGAGUGGCGCACGGGUGAGUAACACGUGGGAAACCUACCCUUCAGCGGGGGAUAACCGUCGGAAACGAUGGCUAAUACCGCAUAGGUCUUUUAACCGCCUGGUUGAAAGAGGAAAGACGGCUUCGGCUGUCACUGAAGGAUGGUCCCGCGGUGCAUUAGCUAGUUGGUAAGGUAACGGCUUACCAAGGCGAUGAUGCAUAGCCGACCUGAGAGGGUGAUCGGCCACAUUGAGACUGAGACACGGCCCAAACUCCUACGGGAGGCAGCAGUAGGGAAUCUUCCGCAAUGGACGCAAGUCUGACGGAGCAACGCCGCGUGUGUGAAGAAGGUCUUCGGAUCGUAGAGCACUGUUAUUAGAGAAGAACAACCGGUAGAGUAACUGUUACCGGCUUGACGGUAUCUAACCAGAAAGCCACGGCUAACUACGUGCCAGCAGCCGCGGUAAUACGUAGGUGGCAAGCGUUGUCCGGAUUUAUUGGGCGUAAAGGGAGCGCAGGCGGUGACUUAAGUCUGAUGUGAAAGCCCACGACUCAACCGUGGAAGGUCAUUGGAAACUGGGUCACUUGAGUGCAGAAGAGGAAAGUGGAAUUCCAUGUGUAGCGGUGAAAUGCGUAGAUAUAUGGAGGAACACCAGUGGCGAAGGCGACUUUCUGGUCUGUAACUGACGCUGAGGCUCGAAAGCGUGGGGAGCAAACAGGAUUAGAUACCCUGGUAGUCC
Molecule: ribosomal RNA, 784 nt
Filed under: uncultured bacterium
Lineage: Bacteria
Description: bacterial SSU rRNA
Rfam family: Bacterial small subunit ribosomal RNA
Source: RNAcentral